This 253-nucleotide ribosomal RNA is filed under the name uncultured bacterium. RNAcentral's name for it is "partial 16S ribosomal RNA". It matches the Rfam family "Bacterial small subunit ribosomal RNA", at positions 524 to 776 of the family's 1533-position model. The record is from RNAcentral.
UGCAGAGGGUGCAAGCGUUAAUCGGAAUUACUGGGCGUAAAGCGUGCGUAGACGGUUACAUAAGUCGGGUGUGAAAGCCCCGGGCUCAACCUGGGAAUUGCAUUCGAGACUGCGUAGCUAGGGUGCGGAAGAGGGAAGCGGAAUUUCCGGUGUAGCGGUGAAAUGCGUAGAUAUCGGAAGGAACACCAGUGGCGAAAGCGGCUUCCUGGUCCAGCACCGACGUUCAGGCACGAAAGCGUGGGGAGCAAACAGG